AAGCAGUGAUGUGGUGCAAACUCAAAAAGUAAGUCUCAGUUCGGAUUGAAGGCUGAAAUUCGCCUUCAUGAAGCCGGAAUUGCUAGUAAUGGCAGGUCAGCAUACUGCCGUGAAUACGUUCCCGGGCCCUUGUACACACCGCCCGUCACACCAUGAGAGUUGGGAAUACCCGAAGCCUGUGAGCUAACGUUAAGAGGCAGCAGUCGAAGGUAGAAUCAAUGAUUGGGGUGAAGUCGUAACAAGGUAAC
RNAcentral lists this ribosomal RNA (248 nucleotides) under uncultured bacterium. RNAcentral's name for it is "partial 16S ribosomal RNA". It matches the Rfam family "Bacterial small subunit ribosomal RNA", at positions 1252 to 1500 of the family's 1533-position model. The record is from RNAcentral.